AAGAGACUAAUGAGUUACUAUAGCAACAAGCAGAUGGGUGUGGUCAAAUGAGUGGCUAUGGCAACUAAUGAGGUUAACAAUAAAGACAAACAAGGCACACAACAGACAAGGACAGAAAACACACAGGAAACAUAGAGAGUUCAGGAGGAGUAUGAUGAUGUGAUGAGUGUCAGUGAAGAUGUGAGAAACCUGUUGGAUUAUGAUGAUGUGGAGGAGGAGUCGAACAAAGAAGUGGGGCAUUCGGCUCAGUGAUCAUCCACUGCCUCGGUUCAACAAAUCUGAAC
Long non-coding RNA from Carassius auratus (goldfish), 284 nucleotides. RefSeq lists it as uncharacterized. The record is from RefSeq and is a predicted model, not a curated record. Lineage: Eukaryota; Metazoa; Chordata; Actinopteri; Cypriniformes; Cyprinidae. The transcript is spliced from 3 exons.